Molecule: ribosomal RNA, 891 nt
Filed under: uncultured eukaryote
Lineage: Eukaryota
Description: SSU rRNA
Rfam family: Eukaryotic small subunit ribosomal RNA
Source: RNAcentral
CCUUGUGCCAGCAGCCGCGGUAAUUCCAGCUCCAAUAGCGUAUAUUAAAGUUGUUGUGGUUAAAAAGCUCGUAGUUGGAUCUCAACAGCCUUGAAGCGGUUAACUUUGUAGUUUUACUGCUUUAUAGGCUGUGCUUUUGCUGGAGGUUUAGGGGUGCUCUUGAUCGAGUGUCUCUGGAUGCCAGCAGGUUUACUUUGAAAAAAUUAGAGUGCUCAAAGCAGGCUAAAAUGCCUGAAUAUUCGUGCAUGGAAUAAUAGAAUAGGAUGUCGAUCCUAUUUUGUUGGUUUUCGGGACUCGACAUAAUGAUAAAUAGGGACAGUCGGGGGCAUUUGUAUUCAAACGACAGAGGUGAAAUUCUUGGACCGUUUGAAGACAAACUACUGCGAAAGCAUUUGCCAAGAAUGUUUUCAUUAAUCAAGAACGAAAGUUAGAGGUUCGAAGGCGAUUAGAUACCGCCCUAGUUCUAACCAUAAACGAUGCCAGCUAGCGAUCUGCCUGCGUUUUUACUGUAGACUGGGCAGGAAGCUUCCGGGAAACCAAAGCAUUUGGGUUCCAGGGGAAGUAUGGUUGCAAAGCUGAAACUUAAAGGAAUUGACGGAAGGGCACCACCAGGAGUGGAGCCUGUGGCUUAAUUUGACUCAACACGGGAAAUCUCACCAGGCCCGGACACUGGAAGGAUUGACAGAUUGAUAGCUCUUUCUUGAUUCGGUGGGUGGUGGUGCAUGGCCGUUCUUAGUUGGUGGAGUGAUUUGUCUGGUUAAUUCCGAUAACGAACGAGACUCUGUCCUGCUAAAUAGUUUCUACUUCUCUUUUGAGUAGAAAUUUCUUCUUAGAGGGACUGGUGACUCUUAGUCACACGAGAUUGAGCAAUAACAGGUCUGUGAUGCCCAA